UUUGUUACAGCCACGGCGAAGAUCUUAUAGUAACACCAUUCGCACAAAUUCUUGCAAGCUUGCGCAGCGUAAGGAACAACUUUCUGUGUCUCACCAAUGUGCCCACCAAUAAGUCCCGUCGUUCGUCGGGGGCAACGGCAGGAACCACCCCACAA
This is a long non-coding RNA of Photinus pyralis (common eastern firefly), 155 nucleotides long. RefSeq lists it as uncharacterized. The transcript is spliced from 2 exons. Lineage: Eukaryota; Metazoa; Arthropoda; Insecta; Coleoptera; Lampyridae. The record is from RefSeq and is a predicted model, not a curated record.